UACGUAGGGUCCGAGCGUUGUCCGGAAUUACUGGGCGUAAAGAGCUCGUAGGUGGUUUGUCGCGUUGUUCGUGAAAACUCACAGCUCAACUGUGGGCGUGCGGGCGAUACGGGCAGACUGGAGUACUGCAGGGGAGACUGGAAUUCCUGGUGUAGCGGUGGAAUGCGCAGAUAUCAGGAGGAACACCGGUGGCGAAGGCGGGUCUCUGGGCCGAAACUGACGCUGAGGAGCGAAAGCGUGGGGAGCGAACAGG
This 253-nucleotide ribosomal RNA is filed under the name uncultured bacterium. Its description in RNAcentral is "partial 16S ribosomal RNA". It matches the Rfam family "Bacterial small subunit ribosomal RNA", at positions 524 to 776 of the family's 1533-position model. The record is from RNAcentral.